This 443-nucleotide ribosomal RNA is filed under the name uncultured bacterium. Its description in RNAcentral is "partial 16S ribosomal RNA". It matches the Rfam family "Bacterial small subunit ribosomal RNA", at positions 338 to 795 of the family's 1533-position model. The record is from RNAcentral.
CCUACGGGGGGCAGCAGUGGGGAAUAUUGGGCAAUGGGCGCAAGCCUGACCCAGCAACGCCGCGUGAAGGAAGAAGGCUUUCGGGUUGUAAACUUCUUUUCUGAGGGACGAAGAAAGUGACGGUACCUCAGGAAUAAGCCACGGCUAACUACGUGCCAGCAGCCGCGGUAAUACGUAGGUGGCAAGCGUUAUCCGGAUUUAUUGGGUGUAAAGGGGGUGUAGGCGGGAAAGCAAGUCAGAUGUGAAAACCAUGGGCUCAACCUGUGGCCUGCAUUUGAAACUGUUUUUCUUGAGUACUGGAGAGGCAGACGGAAUUCCUAGUGUAGCGGUGAAAUGCGUAGAUAUUAGGAGGAACACCAGUGGCGAAGGCGGUCUGCUGGACAGCAACUGACGCUGAGGCGCGAAAGCGUGGGGAGCAAACAGGAUUAGAUACCCUGGUAGUC